GUGGGUGAGGAAGCAGACAGCCAGACCGGGUACAAAGAUGGAAACUCUGCAGAAGUACAUUCAGAGAAGAGAUGCUGAGAUGCUGUCAGAAUCAGCGCCUCCAGGCAUGAAUCUAACUUAACUUUGUUUUGUUUUUGUAGGGUUUAUAUUAUAAUUCUUGCAUAAACUUAACACAGAUAUUGAACUGAACUGAAUCUUGACUUGAACUGAGCUGAUAGUCUUUUUAGAGAUGCUUUAAAGCAGAGUUUGAAUUUGUCUCAUGUUUAAUGACUUCUGCAGUAUUUUUGCAUACUGUAAAGCUGAUUUGAAACAAUCUGUAUUGUGUUAUGAACUAUAUAAAUAAAUGUGACUUAAUUAACACCAUUCAUCCUGAUAUUAACAGUGGUCGCCUCAAUCUCAGCUUCUGCAGAGGAACCAUCUGAUGAAGAUCUGCUUGCUGCAGCGGCACAUAUAGAUGUUCCAGGUGAGCAUUACCUUCCCUUUAAUGGGAUUACAUUUGUGGUUUAAUUAAAGAAUACCGUGCCUUUGUACAUUGUAUAACCUGUUUUGUUAUUUGGUAUUAUCAGCCUUCAGAUGGAUGGUUUUGGAAACAAUAAGCUGAUGUGACUCAACCAUCCAGUCAGCCAGAACCUCUGCCCUCUGCAACGAGAGCUGCUGCACCAGAACCUCUGCCCACAGAAGAACUGUUGCUGCCUGAAGGCUGGAGACAGACUCUGCCCAAAGAGCAGCAUUUGUGGGUCAGCAAGGCUCUUUUCACCAGAGACAAGUCUGGGAGGCUGGCGCUGACCAAAAACCUGCAUCUCUGGUGGCAUCCUCCUGGGCCCUGUCCUCUGUAUACACAGCCUCCUUCAUCACCUGACAGCUUCUAUCAUAGCCAGCAGCUUCUGGGUCUGAAACUGGCUCAGGAUUACACCAGCCCCAGUGAAUAUACAGGAGAGCUCUUUGGUGUGGAAUAUUUGUAUUCCCAAACCAGCAGAGCGGUGAUGAGGGGUUUGAGGAUCUGUGCCUUGAUGAGCCCAUUGAAUUUUUGGAACUCGAGGGCAAUGACCUGCAGCCCCCUCAGGAACAGACAGUGGCCCUACAACCUCCUGGUCAGCCCUCAUCAUCAGCAGCAGAGUCUUCCUCUCCUGUCUUGGCCACUCAGAGCCAGAUGAAGAGUGUGGGACCAGAUGGCCAAGCUGGUUAUGACCACGUCAUUAGGCUAGCCGACAGUCUGGUUGACCUGCCCCAUCAGGGGUUUGUCACUCAGAGUAAGGUGGAUGAGAUUGUCGUGCUGUGGAACAACCUGUCAGAUCAUGACAAGGGCCCUCUCAUCUAUGUAUCUUGGCUAUAAUCAUAACCAGUCUCGUUACCAAUGUUAUCCACUUGUUUGACCGCUAUCUGUCAAAUAGUCUGAUUAACUGUACUUUCCUCCUUUUUCACUUUGCAGAUGCUUCCUUGGUGAAGGUGGACCAGCUCAGUGGCCCAGCACAAGCCGAGUAGUGGAAGCCAUCUGCCUGGCUCUCUGCUGAAUUUACCCUGCCGGUCAGACCAUCGCCGGGGUCCGGGUAAACCAAUGGGCUGCCAUCCUAAGGGAUUACAGGAGGAUCCGAGACAUAGUCCUGGGCAGCCCCGGAAUCAUGGCUCAGACAAAGUUAAAGGUCUUUAAGCUAAACCAGCUCACUAUCUCCCAGUGGUACGUUCAGUAAUUGUACAGCGUGGCGGCGAAAGAAGCUGGCAGAGGCAGCCGCUGCAGCUCAAGGUUUGAACUCUAAAAAACAACAAAUACCUCAGCAGUUCCUCUGCCAAAAGUGUGGCCAGCCAAAGACUAAAGAAUUUGGCCACAGCCAGUUCCGGGGUGUCCACUUUUGUGCAAAGGCUUCUGGGAAGACUGUGGCACAGUGGAUGGAGGAAGUCAAGAGAG
This is a long non-coding RNA of Cyprinus carpio carpio, 1903 nucleotides long. The record is from Ensembl. NCBI's taxonomy places the organism in Eukaryota, Metazoa, Chordata, Actinopteri, Cypriniformes, Cyprinidae.